Paramormyrops kingsleyae is the source of this 4395-nucleotide long non-coding RNA. RefSeq lists it as uncharacterized. The record is from RefSeq and is a predicted model, not a curated record. Lineage: Eukaryota; Metazoa; Chordata; Actinopteri; Osteoglossiformes; Mormyridae.
UUUUAUUUAUCUACCACCGUGGGGCACGUUAUGAUGCAUGCAGCCCUCUUGCAUUGUUUACGAGCGGGCGCGUAAGUUCCGUGCGGGUCACGUGAUGCGCAUCAGAAUGCCAGCACUGCCUGUUAUUCCGGCGCCCCAGUAACUGCGAAAAAUUAACCGUCCUUUGUGUACUUAGAGUACUUAUUUCGUAAUUUCUAAAGCUUUUGCCCGUUAUUCGUUAGUAUAACUGCCGUAAAAAAAAUAAAAUUCUGACAUAAAGAACAAUUAAAUGACAUUCUCUUAAUCUGAGAAUUUACUAUUCUUGCUGGUGUGGCACCAAAACAAGAUGGUCUCAACAUGGAAAACAAGUUAAUCAACUGAAUAUUAGAGGCAAUGACCAGGAAGAAACCAGAUGAGCUGACCUAGGGAGGCCUGCACAGAGAAUGUGGUCCUGUCACUGGCAGGAUGGCUGAUAAAUCCUGGUGGGAUGAGCAAGGCACGUCUGGGAUGGCAACCCCCAUCUAUUCAACAAGUACACAUAACACAAUUCUUUCUCUUUCUGUUAAAACUAAUGUUAACCAGCAAAACCAUGUAUAAUAGCUUAAGGAAAAAAUACAGUUUGUAUGUGCUGUACUUCCCAUCUAAGUCUUGCUGUUGUAGGAUCUGUCCCCAUAAUUUUUGGCUUCACAACUUCUGCAAUUGUGAAGAUCACGUCUCUCUUGGUGGACAGAUGUGCUCCGGAUGUGAUGGUAUAGGUUUCUGACCUGAUGAGACCUUUAGUGGAAGGUUGGGUGUACAAAAUUAAGGCUGCAAAAAAAGGUAUGCAUUCAUUUUAUCUUCGGCGAAAAGUAGCAGCCAGCAUGGGCUGGUGGUGGGGACUGGGAACAUAUCGUCAAUGUUCUCCAGUACCACUAAUUCUAUGCCUUAAUCAUGCAAAAUAUAGUACAUAGCACAUCAUGUUCAAAGAGAGCAGACAAGUUUUCUGGAAAAAUAUCUUCAAUAUAAAUUUUGUAUAUUUUUAAUAAGCUCAUAUAACAUGACCACUUUGCCUUUAUCAUGAUUGAUAUGAGAAGGUAAUAUGCUGUUGCCCCCACGUAGAUAUUGAAUUCAGUCGUAUCCCACAGAUAAACCUCCAUUCCUAUGUGUAGCAUUAAAUAUGCGACACUUAUUCAGUAGUACGAUUGUAAUGUUAAUUAGUUAAGAUAUGAUUUGAAAGUCUUGGGUUGAAAGCGAUUGUCAGUAGAAAGGGAGAGGUGCUGCUUUGUACUUUUUAAGUGGUUGUUAUAUGUCAUGAAUCCAUUUUUGAACCAGCUCCACGUGAAGCACCCUAAUCUGUCUUUACAACGGGAAUGUGCAAUAUGUUUUCUUUAAUAUAAAUAUGUAUAAAUUUGAUUGUGAAACAAGUGACAAGUUGUUUGACAACAACAAAAUCACCAACGUCUUCCAUUAAAAGAUGUAUAGUCCCAUGUGCAUUAGCUUACUAGCAGGAGCGUAGCACCAGUGUUAAAACUGGCCAUGCAUGAGGUAGUAAUGCUUGCUCAAUAAAAUACUCAUACAAUUAUUCACAAUGUAAAAAAUGAGACAAAAGAGAUUCUACUCUGCAUAAGGGGAAGUACUAACCAGGAUGCAGUGUGUAUUCUCUUGACCAUCUAAGAUUAGAUUUCAAGGAGGAAUUCCACACUGUAGUUUCUUAAACCUUGACAAAUGUGAUAGUCUUGCUAAUAGAAAUACAAUCUUUGGAUUCUCUAUUGUACAAUAUCAUUUUAAAUGUUAAUUUUUUUUGUUUGUAUUAGGAAGUGCAAUCUCUUCAACAUCUCUGCAUCUAUAUAUUUCAUACAGUUGUGUCCCGAGACUUAAAGUUCAUUUAUAGUUAUUUUAAACACAAGGGUUUUAAUUGAUAAGUCUGUAGAUUAAAAUGGAUUUCCCAAACCUUUCAAAACAGGCAUGAAUAUGCACCCAAAGACACCCUUAAAUGUUUGACUUUGAUAUAGACAGGGGAAAGUUUUAGAAUAUGAAGCAGGAUAUAUUCAGAGAUACAUCUCGGGUGUUAGUAGAAUGGUAAUGUUUCACUAAAGGUAGGUUAUAUCGUUAAAAUAGUUUACUAUUAAUACCACACAGUUAUGCAUAGAAUUUAGAGUACAGUUAUGUUAAAUCCAUAGUCCUGUUUAUAUAUUGCAAUGUAGAUAAAUACCUCAAACUCUGGAAUGCAGAAUGUUUUGAUAGAAUAUCUAUUGCAGAUUAAGCCAUAAAAUAGAUAAUUAGAAGCAAUAAUGUUUAUGCAUGAUAUUAGUGUUGGAUCUCUUGAGUAGUGACUAAUUGUAGCUAUGGUGAAAUGGUUGUAGGGCGGAAAUAGAUUGUCUUGUGUAUAUUAAUCAAAAUUAGGUUGAAGGACAAAAAACCCUUAUAAGGACUUUUUUUUUCUGUUUCCAAGAAAACGUACCCCUCCAUUGUCCUUUAAAAAAGGGAUUGCCUUAGUUAAUACUAUCCAAAUUAUGCUAAAACAAAAUAUUAACUAUUGAACCGUUUCUUUUUUAAAACAUUGAAUUAACAUUAACUUACUUGUUAAACAAAAAUAUUAAUAAAGUAAGAUGGUGUCUUAAAAGUCUGGAUGCCCCAGGGAAGUGGUGUCUCCUGGUAGAUAUUUAAAAAGUUGUAGACUUCAAUCUCAACAACAGGGGGGAGUGGCCUCCUUGUAUGUAGGCAUCCAUUUCUCCUGCAUGGACAUGCGUUGCUCCUCUAGUCUGCGCAUGCUGUUCGUCUGUCCUGAAUGGUUCCUGCACUCCAUUUCACAUCUCAUAGCCCCACCGAUGCAGGACCACAGCAUAUACUCCACCUUCCAUGGAUAAAACCUUGAUGUACUCAUCUAAAAAGGGUGCUGUGCUCCGAGAAAUCACCCUUCCCCUGCUGGUGCUAACCUUUGCCAGUCAGAGUUGUCUUUGACCCAUGUUCUAGUCCGAUUGUCCAGGUAAGGCUUAUGAUAAGGCUGUUAAGUCUAAGAUUUUGUCUGCGAUGGAUUCAAACAUUUAUGCCACUGACCAGUUGUUUGUUUCGUUAAGGGGGAAACAAAGUAUACAGUGUAAACAAAGUAUGGUAUCUGAUGAUGGAUUUGUAAUGUUAAAAUCUGAAAGACUUGGCGGUUACCAUUCGAGUUUCAGAAAAGCACUUGGCCGAGAGGUUAUAGACAAAUGGUAUUCUGUAGAAUCAAGGAAUUAUUUUAACCCUUAUAUAUAUAUAUAUAUAUAUAUAUCUUGCAUGCUGUAGUCUAAAUUGUGCUUAGCAAGCUAAUGUUAUUGAAAGCAAUAGGGUCUAUAGCGGUCUUAUUUUGCGUAAAGGUAAUCAAAAAUGUAUAUUCACCCUAAUAAAUUAGGAUUAAUAGCUAUUAGAAUACAACUAGCAUAAACAGUUUUUAUGCAGUUUGUUCAUUUUAGCCAAACUAAAAUGUUAUUAGUGAUAUUGCAGUUAUUGUGUGUACUCAGUCUUUUAGCGGAAGUUUAUCAUUUUUAAAUCGUCUAAGGGUUGAGAAUAGCUUACUAGGAAAAGAAUUAAUGCACAAAAUAUGCUACACAGUCCAAGGGUAUGGCUCCUUACUUAAUGCAUGAAAAACAGGCAAAUAUAUUUCAAUGCAUGCAAUAAUUCACUUUAUAACAACUUAAUUUUUUAAUUGUAGGUUCCACGUGAUGACAAAUUUAAAAUCGGCAAUUCAUAUACUGAUUCUUGUACUGCAAUUCCUGUAUUAACAGAAAUAGCCCCACAAAUGUCAGAAAGUAUAAAAGUGGUGCAACAGGUAUUAAAACAUGUAGAAUUAUCUGAAUUUCAUUAAAUCCUUAUCUUCUAAUUGCAAGUUACUGCUUAUCAAAUUAGAAUGGUUGGCCACUGAAUAUAUUAACCAAUCACGCCCUGAUUAAAAUGAAAGUUACUGCUGAAAUUAAGCCAAUUUCCAUUAGAGGAACUACUUUUGUCAAUACUAUGUAAAAAUGGCAAAAAAUGUUUACAAAAAAGGAAAUGGCUCAUGAGCACUUGCAAUUCCUGAAAUUUCAUAGGACGUUGCCAGUUACAGGAUUUAAUUUUUGUACUUGGUGCAUGCAAGAGAAUUCUAAAAGAUUGUUGGUAAAAUGCCUAAUGUGUUUUUUUUUUUUACCUUUUGGAAGUGAAUUGGCCAAAUUAAUUGUGUGAUUUUGGGUCUAAAAGUUACACUUGAAUAAUGGAUUACAAAUGGGAUUUUUACACUAACUGCUGUAACAGGAAACCAUGACUACUGAAAAUGUUGGCUGUAAAUAAGUAAACUAUGCAUUUCAGAAAUGACAGUGGGAGACACAGGGCAUGUUUUGUGGAGACUCUCUCUGGCUUUGUAAAAACUGCGAACACUGCACCCAGUAAUUUUAGCAAUAAAAGCAGCAUGGUGCCAAUUGCACAAAA